RNAcentral lists this ribosomal RNA (497 nucleotides) under uncultured bacterium. RNAcentral's name for it is "partial 16S ribosomal RNA". It matches the Rfam family "Bacterial small subunit ribosomal RNA", at positions 28 to 507 of the family's 1533-position model. The record is from RNAcentral.
GAUGAACGCUGGCGGCGUGCCUAAUACAUGCAAGUCGAGCGAACAGGCGAGGAGCUUGCUCCUCUGACGUUAGCGGCGGACGGGUGAGUAACACGUGGAUAACCUACCUAUAAGACUGGGAUAACUUCGGGAAACCGGAGCUAAUACCGGAUAAUAUAUUGAACCGCAUGGUUCAAUAGUGAAAGACGGUUUUGCUGUCACUUAUAGAUGGAUCCGCGCCGCAUUAGCUAGUUGGUAAGGUAACGGCUUACCAAGGCAACGAUGCGUGGCCGACCUGAGAGAGUGAUCGGCCACACUGGAACUGAGACACGGUCCAGACUCCUACGGGAGGCAGCAGUAGGGAAUCUUCCGCAAUGGGCGAAAGCCUGACGGAGCAACGCCGCGUGAGUGAUGAAGGUCUUCGGAUCGUAAAACUCUGUUAUUAGGGAAGAACAAAUGUGUAAGUAACUAUGCACGUCUUGACGGUACCUAGUCAGAAAGCCACGGCUAACUACGUG